This 253-nucleotide ribosomal RNA is filed under the name uncultured bacterium. RNAcentral describes it as "partial 16S ribosomal RNA". It matches the Rfam family "Bacterial small subunit ribosomal RNA", at positions 524 to 776 of the family's 1533-position model. The record is from RNAcentral.
UACGUAGGUGGCGAGCGUUGUCCGGAAUUACUGGGUGUAAAGCGCGUGUAGGCGGCCGGCCAAGUCGGUGGUGAAAGCGCCCGGCUCAACUGGGCGAGGUCCAUGGAAACUGGUCAGCUGGAGGACGGUAGAGGCGAGUGGAAUUCCCGGUGUAGUGGUGAAAUGCGUAGAGAUCGGGAGGAACACCUGUGGCGAAGGCGGCUCGCUGGGCCGGUCCUGACGCUGAAACGCGAAGGCGUGGGGAGCGAACGGG